GUGCCAGCCGCCGCGGUAAUACGUAGGUGGCAAGCGUUGUCCGGAUUUAUUGGGCGUAAAGCGAGCGCAGGCGGUUCUUUAAGUCUGAUGUGAAAGCCCCCGGCUCAACCGGGGAGGGUCAUUGGAAACUGGAGAACUUGAGUGCAGAAGAGGAGAGUGGAAUUCCACGUGUAGCGGUGAAAUGCGUAGAUAUGUGGAGGAACACCAGUGGCGAAGGCGACUCUCUGGUCUGUAACUGACGCUGAGGCUCGAAAGCGUGGGGAGCAAACAGGAUUAGAU
Molecule: ribosomal RNA, 279 nt
Filed under: uncultured Carnobacteriaceae bacterium
Lineage: Bacteria; Bacillati; Bacillota; Bacilli; Lactobacillales; Carnobacteriaceae
Description: partial 16S ribosomal RNA
Rfam family: Bacterial small subunit ribosomal RNA
Source: RNAcentral